UACGAAGGGGACUAGCGUUGUUCGGAAUCACUGGGCGUAAAGCGCACGUAGGCGGAUGUGUCAGUCAGGGGUGAAAUCCCGGGGCUCAACCUCGGAACUGCCUUUGAUACAGCACGUCUCGAGUCCGGAAGAGGUGGGUGGAAUUCCUAGUGUAGAGGUGAAAUUCGUAGAUAUUAGGAAGAACACCCGUGGCGAAAGCGGCUCUCUGGAACGGUACUGACGCUGAGACGCGAAAGCGUGGGGAGCGAACAGG
RNAcentral lists this ribosomal RNA (253 nucleotides) under uncultured bacterium. RNAcentral describes it as "partial 16S ribosomal RNA". It matches the Rfam family "Bacterial small subunit ribosomal RNA", at positions 524 to 776 of the family's 1533-position model. The record is from RNAcentral.